Molecule: long non-coding RNA, 233 nt
Filed under: Lathyrus oleraceus (garden pea)
Lineage: Eukaryota; Viridiplantae; Streptophyta; Magnoliopsida; Fabales; Fabaceae
Description: Pisum sativum (pea) long non-coding RNA (PSAT_LNC005391)
Source: RNAcentral
AUUGUCAAGCAAUCAAGUAUUACAGAGAGCAAGGAGUUCGGAGAGCUGAAGGUUUUCAUGAGCGGAAGUGAAUGAAGAUCGAAGUCAUCAAAAUACUUGUAAUAUGUAAUUUUUAUCUUGCAUUUGUUUUGAACAAUAUGAGUAGCUAAAUCCCCCAAUUCUAUGGGGGUGUCCCUGAUUUAGAAUUGUAACGAAUUUGAGUAUACUUUUGCAUUUAUAAUAUUAUUCUUACG